CAGGUUACAUGCGGUGCAGUAU
Molecule: microRNA, 22 nt
Filed under: Ornithorhynchus anatinus (platypus)
Lineage: Eukaryota; Metazoa; Chordata; Mammalia; Monotremata; Ornithorhynchidae
Description: oan-miR-1421a-5p
Source: miRBase by way of RNAcentral